GGGGGCGUCACGGUUUCGACGUGUCUGGUGAAUGUGGAGUAGCGUGCCGAGGUCCCGACCCUCGUUAAUAUUCGGGAAACUUUAUAGCUGCCAACACUGAUCUGGCGCUGGCCGCGUAAGUUUCUUACCGGUCCGUCUCCUGGAUCGCCUGCCCGAGGCGGUCCUUUGAGGCGACGAUAAGUCGGGCUGGUUUUCGAGUUUUGCUACUGAGCACGAAGACGAGAUAAACAGGUAGCUGGUCGUGGGUUUGGUUGUUCGCUGACCGCUCACGACGAGACUAACAGCGAGCUACGCACGUAGAGACUCUGCUGGACCCAGAUGCGGACGCGGGUUCGACUCCCGCCGCCUCCA
RNAcentral lists this transfer-messenger RNA (351 nucleotides) under marine eukaryotic metagenome. It matches the Rfam family "transfer-messenger RNA". From Rfam's summary of the family: Bacterial tmRNA, also known as 10Sa RNA or SsrA, is named for its dual tRNA and mRNA-like properties. Its role is to liberate the mRNA from a stalled ribosome. To accomplish this part of the tmRNA is used as a reading frame that ends in a translation stop signal. The record is from RNAcentral.